AAAUCUUUCAACUGGAAAAAGAAUUCCAUUGAAUUGGUGUGGCAGAGCUUGACUGGCUGCUACGCAAAGCUGUUUCUCCUUCUCUCUGGGUGCACUCAGCAAGACUACACUUCCCAGCUUCCCUUACACUGAAGGUGACCAGCCAGUGCUAUCUCAGCAAAAGUGACUGACUCAGCUCCAGACCUGGCCUGAGAAAACCUCCAUUUGUUCUUCCAAUUUACACGCUGAAUGCAGAGCACUGUAAGGUUGUAAGGUGGGCUGAGGGAAAGGAAGAGAGAGAAGAGAGAAAGGGGGAAACAUAUGCCAGUUUUUUUGUCUUUUUAAAAAAAUUUUAUUUAAGGAGAAAAAGAAAAAAGCAGAGAAAGGGUAUAAGUUACACAGAUUUACAGAAAAAAAUAAACAGUAAGAAAUCACUAGUUAAUGGAUUACAUAUUGUAUUCUUAGAAAUAAUUGUUCAAGUUACAAAAUUAAAGCUUAUAAAGUGGACAUUCCAACAGUGAGACUGCAAACAGUUCUGUUCAAUGAUCCAACAAAACUCAGUAAUAUCAUUAUCAAUCUUAUACACUUAAAUAUACAUGCAGUUAUAUCUUUUAGAGCACUUUCUUUUCCUCUCUUUUGUACAAUGACAAUUGCACAUUUUGGGUUUUGUUGCUCCCACAGUUCUUAUUACUUUUUUGGAAGAGAGUAGAACCAAAUGUGACAUAACAGAACAGUCAGGCAAAUCAAAAGGGUGGACAUAAUAGAUAAUAUAAAAGCAUAAUACAAGGUGAUCAACAAUGGUUACUGAAAGAGUUGCUGGCCCAGACCGGACACUUUAACCAGGAAAAGCUGCAGCCGCUGCCUCCCCCGCCCCUAUAGAUUUGCCUGUAACCCUAUACCCCCAUCCCUGUAACCCUGGCGCCAAAACGUGUGCCAAUGAAAUACCUGUACAUCCCUAAUGCCCCUUGGGGUCCACCCCAGACAGAGGUUACUUAUGGGCCUGACUCCAUGUGUUAGAGAAAACAAGAGAAGAAGAAGAAGGAGAAAGGGAGAGUGUGUUCCAGAGAGAGACCACCGGCCCUGGGUGCAGUGGAGAUGCUGUGUCCCGGGGCCGGGGGGGUAUCUCCCCGCAUUCCCGAAAUAAAGCCACCACCGCCCACUACUUUCACGGCCGUCCACUCCACUCCUUCCACGGACCUCUUUCCCUUCCCUUCCCCUCUUCUUCCCCUUCUUCUCAGACCUAACAGAUGGUGCGUGUGACUCAACGGCAGGUGAGAGACUAUAAUUUUCCCAGUUUUGUUUUAUGGUCCCCUGCUGGUCAAGAUUCUUCACUUCUACACUCACAAAUCGACUCACAAACUCAACUGCUGUUUCUCAACCAACAGCCAUCUGCCCAGUCUUCAGGCCUGCAUCUCCCCGUCUGCAUUCGGGCCUCUCCUACCAUCAGAAAGUGAGUUGGCCGCAGAUUCCUGCACUCCCAUGGGAAGCCGGGAGCCUGGGUGACCCUUCACAUUCUGAGAAGUCAGAAUUCCAAAUUUUCAAGGAAACUCUAUUUAUACCAUUCAAGAAAGGGCGUGGGCAACAUACCGUUGGGUUGAGAAACUAAAUCUCAGUGAAAAUUACAUCACCGAACUACGUAAGGAUUCCUUUGAAGGCCUGCUAAACCUCCAGUAUUUAGAUUUAUCGUGCAAUAAAAUACAGUUUAUUGAAAGAAAUACAUUUGAAGCACUACUUUUUUUACAGUUCUUGUAAGUUGAAAAUAUAACUUCAUUAUAUUUACAGUCUUGUAAGUCUCUUUGCUACUCAUUUGGAAAUCCUUUAAACCUCUACCAAAGUAUAUUAUAAAGAUUAUUGCACAGGUCAGAGAGAGUCACUACAGAGCAAUGAUUCUCAGUUGGUUUGAUUUUGCAUGGAGGCGACAAUUGCUAUUGGAAUCAAGGGGGCAGAGAUCAGGGAUGCUGUUAACCAUGCUACUGUGUUCAGUCAGACAUUCAAAGAAUCAGCCAGCUCCAAAUGUCUCUAGUGCGGAACCUGCGAAGUGUUGUUCAAGAGCAAUAAAGAUUGCUCAGCACAGGAAUUUAUUAAGCUUUCACUCUUUUAUAUCUAGUGCAUUUCACAUGUAAAUAGGAAAGUGUAAGUUAUAAGCCAGCAUCUUCCAGUGAGAUUUCUUAAGUGUAUGGAAACAGUACUGCAAGUGAUGUUUCAUCAUAUAUAAAUUGGAAUA
Molecule: long non-coding RNA, 2203 nt
Organism: Cavia porcellus (domestic guinea pig)
Lineage: Eukaryota; Metazoa; Chordata; Mammalia; Rodentia; Caviidae
Exons: 5
Source: RefSeq, a predicted model, not a curated record